UACGGGGGGGGCAAGCGUUGUUCGGAAUUACUGGGCGUAAAGGGCUCGUAGGCGGCCAACUAAGUCAGACGUGAAAUCCCUCGGCUUAACCGGGGAACUGCGUCUGAUACUGGUUGGCUUGAAUCCGGGAGAGGGAUGUGGAAUUCCAGGUGUAGCGGUGAAAUGCGUAGAUAUCAGGAGGAACACCGAUUGCGAAGGCAGCUCGCUGGGACGUAACUGACGCUGAGACGCGAAAGCGUGGGGAGCAAACAGG
This 253-nucleotide ribosomal RNA is filed under the name uncultured bacterium. RNAcentral's name for it is "partial 16S ribosomal RNA". It matches the Rfam family "Bacterial small subunit ribosomal RNA", at positions 524 to 776 of the family's 1533-position model. The record is from RNAcentral.